AUGUUAAUAAAUUGCUCUUAUAUUCUCGCGAGUUUCAAUAAAAUAAAAUAAAAUCUACGGAUAUAUCAGCAGCAAAUGUACCUGCAUGCAUUCCGCGCAUAUGCAAAUCCAAAACACUUCAGCGCGAGAAAUAAGAUGGGCGUAACUCUAAAUGGAUCAUGCACGCUGUCUUUGCAACAAUAACUCAUCUAUUCACAACGGGACGCCGUUUGAGCGCGAGCUGCUUGAGUUUCCGCACACGUCCACCAGACGCGCCGGGCUCGCUCGCGCUGCAUGGGGACCCACGACUGACGCGAUCCCAGUCCUCGGAGUAGCAGCACUGGAUACUUGGCAGAAAUAAGGAGAACGCGUUGUGCACCGAUGCAGUGUCAGAUCACUCAAGCCAAAUGUACUUUUGCACAGUUACGUGGAGGCGUUAUUCUUGUUCCCACCAAAUGCACUGCGAUAAAGGCGACUAUCUUGGUCUUCUGUGGAAUAGAUGUUGUGCUGUAAUGGGUCAACCCAAGUUUGGCAUUCUCAUAUGGAAGGUCGCCAGUGUCCACUAAAAGGUGGAGACCGAGAUGCUGCAAGUGAACGAUAAAACAUGCAAUCAAAUGACCACAGAUCUCAGAAGGCGUAAGACGAGCGAAGAGUGGGAGUUGUGAUGGUGGUGGAGAAGUCAACCCAGAGCAGGUGAACGCAGCUGCGGACCGCCAUGGGCUCUCUUCUAUCAGUCCCAACUCUCCGUCUUCGGGCCUCUGAGAAAUGGCAGGGGCCAGCCAGGGAGCGUCGGAGUGGGCUGGUGAGGCGGCUCGCUUUCCCCGCUAGCUACCGGCACCUCGGCAGCGAGGAGGGAGAGAAAUCAAUACUGAGGAGAGAUGCUGCCAGGGGUCGCCAAACACUGCCUUCAGCCAUGGAGCCAUGGGAGCCAGUGUACUCAACUUUCUCUUCCUCAACCCAAUCUCAGUCAACUCGCAUCAGCUAAAGAAUGGGCCAAGAGCCUUGCUGUUCUUCAUGCAACAGCGAGUGUAUGUGUGGUUCUGCCAGAGGGCCUUUGCAGACCCAGCAUCACUUGAUAAAACUAGGAGAAUGAGUAGAAAAAGAAUGUCAAAGGCCUUUUUUCCCCCGUCUUUGAUUCCUUUUUCACCAUGAGUGCACAUUCCCCCUGACUGUUUGAAUGAGUGCUUCACGGAGAUCUCUUUUACGCUAAAUCAAGAGGUCUUUCUUUUUUAAUGGUCCUCCUCAUAAGUAUACACAAAGUGCUCUACAUCAGAUGGGAUGAGUGAACAGGUUGAACCCUUUUUUAACCUUUUCCAGAUGAAUUUUUUUUAAUAAUUACCAACGUUCGAGAGCUUGGAAAAGGACUUGGCCUUGAUUUGUAGAGAAGGGCUUGGCACUCACCUUUGCUGGGUACUUACAACUCUUUUCACCCCUGUCCAUGGCAUUUGAUGGGCAUUAACAAUAUUGCAGACCAAGGGGAGGACAGUGCAAGUCACUGAUAGAGCACAGAGGUCGAAAAUCUCCUAAUAAGCCCUCGUGAACAUCCUACUUGGGAUGUGGAAGACUCUGAAAUGUCAAUGAAGCAAUAUGCGGACAACUCAAAAAUGGAUGAAGCAAGGCUGCAUUGAAGGGUUUCAUUGCAUGCUGGUUGCACUGGAAAUCGAGGGACCCUUUCAACAAAGAAGUGAAUUUGGUUCUUUAAGAGCGCAAGAGAUGCCAAAAAAAGCUGAAUGAAUCAUGCCUUGAACCCAGGACCAUCACAUACCAUUCAGAGGAAUAUUUAUUUUUCUUUCUUUCUUUCUUCAUUUAUUGACUGCAUAUAAUUGCUUUUUAGUUAGAUUUUUAUGUUUGUUUGUUUUUUUUGUUAGACCUCAUCCAUAAGGUAAGUAUUUUUGGACAGUUAAAGGGUAAGUUAAUUAUUGAAUUCCAUUUUUUUAAACAUACAAUUUAAUGAUAGCGAGACUGCUUAAAAAUGCAACUUAAAAAUGGUAAUUAUUUACUUGUAUUUUAUCUUGACCUUGAUAUGCAUUGAUAAGAAAAUGACAAUAAUAUCAACAUAGUCUCAUGAAAACUUGUAAUAAUUGCGAUAAUGAGAUGGUGAAAUCGUAAGAUAUGGUACCACUUGGCUCAUAUGAAAAGGUACAACUUUUAGACCAAUCAAUUAUAUACGAUUCCUUCGUCUUUUAUCAAACCCCCAAUGUUUUCUUUCUUCCGUGGUAUACACAUUUUCUUUUUUUUCUAUUAAAACCAUGGUUAGGUUUAGAGUUUGGGGAAGGGAUUAGACUUGAUGGUUAGGUUUAGAUUUGGGAUUAAAUGUAGGAAAAAUCAUAUAUUAUCAUUGUUCAUUGUUCAUUUUUUUUCUCUAUAGAAGUAAAAGUCGUACUUUUUUGUAUGAGGCAACUCGUACGAUUUAUUACGCCAUCUCCUACUAUUAUUACCACUUGUCAUGAGAUUGCAUUGAUAAUGCUGAAUUCAACGUACUUUUGUUUACUGUUGUAAACUAUUGCUGCCUUACUGCCUUGUAAUGAAUAAUAUAAAAGUGCUUUAAUAAAUGCUAA
This is a long non-coding RNA of Myxocyprinus asiaticus (Chinese sucker), 2537 nucleotides long. RefSeq lists it as uncharacterized. NCBI's taxonomy places the organism in Eukaryota, Metazoa, Chordata, Actinopteri, Cypriniformes, Catostomidae. The transcript is spliced from 5 exons. The record is from RefSeq and is a predicted model, not a curated record.